AGACUAUGAUGUGUAGCCGGGCUGAGAGGUUGAACGGCCACAUUGGGACUGAGACACGGCCCAAACUCCUACGGGAGGCAGCAGUAGGGAAUUUUCGGCAAUGGAGGAAACUCUGACCGAGCAACGCCGCGUGAACGAUGAAGUAUUUCGGUACGUAAAGUUCUUUUAUUAGGGAAGAAUAAAUGAUGGAAAAAUCAUUCUGACGGUACCUAAUGAAUAAGCCCCGGCUAACUAUGUGCCAGCAGCCGCGGUAAUACAUAGGGGGCAAGCGUUAUCCGGAAUUAUUGGGCGUAAAGGGUGCGUAGGCGGUUAAAUAAGUUUAUGGUCUAAGUGCAAUGCUCAACAUUGUGAUGCUAUAAAAACUGUUUAGCUAGAGUAAGAUAGAGGCAAGUGGAAUUCCAUGUGUAGUGGUAAAAUGCGUAAAUAUAUGGAGGAACACCAGUAGCGAAGGCGGCUUGCUGGGUCUUUACUGACGCUGAGGCACGAAAGCGUGGGGAGCAAACAGGAUUAGAUACCCUGGUAGUCCACGCCGUAAACGAUGAGUACUAAACGUUGGGUAAAACCAGUGUUGAAGUUAACACAUUAAGUACUCCGCCUGAGUAGUACGUACGCAAGUAUGAAACUUAAAGGAAUUGACGGGACUCCGCACAAGCGGUGGAUCAUGUUGUUUAAUUCGAAGGUACCCGAAAAACCUCACCAGGUCUUGACAUGCUUCUGCAAAGCUGUAGAAACACAGUGGAGGUUAUCAGUUGCACAGGUGGUGCAUGGUUGUCGUCAGCUCGUGUCGUGAGAUGUUGGGUUAAGUCCCGCAACGAGCGCAACCCUUAUUGUUAGUUACCAGCACGUAAUGGUGGGGACUUUAGCAAGACUGCCAGUGAUAAAUUGGAGGAAGGUGGGGACGACGUCAAAUCAUCAUGCCCCUUAUGACCUGGGCUACAAACGUGAUACAAUGGCUGUUACAAAGGGUAGCUGAAGCGCAAGUUUUUGGCGAAUCUCAAAAAAACAGUCUCAGUUCG
RNAcentral lists this ribosomal RNA (1016 nucleotides) under 'Catharanthus roseus' phytoplasma. RNAcentral's name for it is "bacterial SSU rRNA". It matches the Rfam family "Bacterial small subunit ribosomal RNA", at positions 271 to 1295 of the family's 1533-position model. The record is from RNAcentral. Lineage: Bacteria; Bacillati; Mycoplasmatota; Mollicutes; Acholeplasmatales; Acholeplasmataceae.